Molecule: transfer RNA, 76 nt
Filed under: Patescibacteria group bacterium
Lineage: Bacteria
Description: tRNA-Arg
Rfam family: tRNA
About the family: Transfer RNA (tRNA) molecules are approximately 80 nucleotides in length.
Source: RNAcentral
GCACCCGUAGCUCAGAGGAUAGAGCGCAACGUUGCGGACGUUGAAGUCGGGGGUUCGAGUCCCUCCGGGUGCACCA